GACGGGACCGCACAAGCGGUGGAUGAUGUGGUUAAUUCGAUGCAACGCGAAAACCUUACCCACCUUUGACAUGGCAGGAAUCCCGAAGAGAUUUGGGAGUGCUCGAAAGAGAACCUGCACACAGGUGCUGCAUGGCUGUCGUCAGCUCGUGUCGUGAGAUGUUGGGUUAAGUCCCGCAACGAGCGCAACCCUUGCCAUUAGUUGCUACGAAAGGGCACUCUAAUGAGACUGCCGGUGACAAACCGGAGGAAGGUGGGGAUGACGUCAAGUCCUCAUGGCCCUUAUAGGUGGGGCUACACACGUCAUACAAUGGCUGGUACAAAGGGUUGCCAACCCGCGAGGGGGAGCCAAUCCCAUAAAGCCAGUCGUAGUCCGGAUCGCAGUCUGCAACUCGACUGCGUGAAGUCGGAAUCGCUAGUAAUCGUGGAUCAGCAUGUCACGGUGAAUACGUUCCCGGGUCCU
RNAcentral lists this ribosomal RNA (462 nucleotides) under uncultured Allobrachymonas sp. RNAcentral describes it as "bacterial SSU rRNA". It matches the Rfam family "Bacterial small subunit ribosomal RNA", at positions 917 to 1381 of the family's 1533-position model. The record is from RNAcentral. Lineage: Bacteria; Pseudomonadati; Pseudomonadota; Betaproteobacteria; Burkholderiales; Comamonadaceae.